CGAACGCCGGCGGCGUGCUUAACACAUGCAAGUCGAACGGAAAGGCCCCUUUGGGGGUACUCGAGUGGCGAACGGGUGAGUAACACGUGAGUAACCUGCCCUUGACUUCGGGAUAACUUCAGGAAACUGGGGCUAAUACCGGAUAGGAAUCCUUGCUGCAUGGUGGGGGUUGGAAAGCUUCGGCGGUUUUGGAUGGACUCGCGGCUUAUCAGCUUGUUGGUGGGGUAGUGGCUUACCAAGGCUUUGACGGGUAGCCGGCCUGAGAGGGCGACCGGCCACAUUGGGACUGAGAUACGGCCCAGACUCCUACGGGAGGCAGCAGUGGGGAAUAUUGCACAAUGGGCGGAAGCCUGAUGCAGCAACGCCGCGUGCGGGAUGACGGCCUUCGGGUUGUAAACCGCUUUCAGCAGGGGCGAAGCUUGUGGUGACGGUACCUGCAGAAGAAGCACCGGCUAACUACGUG
This 463-nucleotide ribosomal RNA is filed under the name uncultured bacterium. RNAcentral describes it as "partial 16S ribosomal RNA". It matches the Rfam family "Bacterial small subunit ribosomal RNA", at positions 30 to 507 of the family's 1533-position model. The record is from RNAcentral.